RNAcentral lists this ribosomal RNA (718 nucleotides) under Corynebacterium aurimucosum. RNAcentral describes it as "bacterial SSU rRNA". It matches the Rfam family "Bacterial small subunit ribosomal RNA", at positions 34 to 763 of the family's 1533-position model. The record is from RNAcentral. Lineage: Bacteria; Bacillati; Actinomycetota; Actinomycetes; Mycobacteriales; Corynebacteriaceae.
CGCUGGCGGCGUGCUUAACACAUGCAAGUCGAACGGAAAGGCCUCAGCUUGCUGGGGUACUCGAGUGGCGAACGGGUGAGUAACACGUGGGUGAUCUGCCUUGCACUCUGGGAUAAGCUUGGGAAACUGGGUCUAAUACCGGAUAUGAACUGCCUUUAGUGUGGUGGUUGGAAAGUUUUUUCGGUGCAAGAUGAGCUCGCGGCCUAUCAGCUUGUUGGUGGGGUAAUGGCCUACCAAGGCGUCGACGGGUAGCCGGCCUGAGAGGGUGUACGGCCACAUUGGGACUGAGAUACGGCCCAGACUCCUACGGGAGGCAGCAGUGGGGAAUAUUGCACAAUGGGCGGAAGCCUGAUGCAGCGACGCCGCGUGGGGGAUGACGGCCUUCGGGUUGUAAACUCCUUUCGACAGGGACGAAGCGUUAUGUGACGGUACCUGUAUAAGAAGCACCGGCUAACUACGUGCCAGCAGCCGCGGUAAUACGUAGGGUGCGAGCGUUGUCCGGAAUUACUGGGCGUAAAGAGCUCGUAGGUGGUUUGUCGCGUCGUCUGUGAAAUUCCGGGGCUUAACUUCGGGCGUGCAGGCGAUACGGGCAUAACUUGAGUGCUGUAGGGGAGACUGGAAUUCCUGGUGUAGCGGUGAAAUGCGCAGAUAUCAGGAGGAACACCGAUGGCGAAGGCAGGUCUCUGGGCAGUUACUGACGCUGAGGAGCGAAAGCAUG